GACGAACGCUGGCGGCGUGCCUAAUACAUGCAAGUAGAACGCUGAAGGAGGAGCUUGCUUCUCUGGAUGAGUUGCGAACGGGUGAGUAACGCGUAGGUAACCUGCCUGGUAGCGGGGGAUAACUAUUGGAAACGAUAGCUAAUACCGCAUAAUAGCAGUUGUUGCAUGACAACUGUUUGAAAGGUGCAAUUGCACCACUACCAGAUGGACCUGCGUUGUAUUAGCUAGUUGGUGGGGUAACGGCUCACCAAGGCGACGAUACAUAGCCGACCUGAGAGGGUGAUCGGCCACACUGGGACUGAGACACGGCCCAGACUCCUACGGGAGGCAGCAGUAGGGAAUCUUCGGCAAUGGACGGAAGUCUGACCGAGCAACGCCGCGUGAGUGAAGAAGGUUUUCGGAUCGUAAAGCUCUGUUGUAAGAGAAGAACGAGUGUGAGAGUGGAAAGUCCACACUGUGACGGUAUCUUACCAGAAAGGGACGGCUAACUACGUG
Molecule: ribosomal RNA, 495 nt
Filed under: uncultured bacterium
Lineage: Bacteria
Description: partial 16S ribosomal RNA
Rfam family: Bacterial small subunit ribosomal RNA
Source: RNAcentral